RNAcentral lists this ribosomal RNA (583 nucleotides) under uncultured bacterium. RNAcentral's name for it is "bacterial SSU rRNA". It matches the Rfam family "Bacterial small subunit ribosomal RNA", at positions 790 to 1368 of the family's 1533-position model. The record is from RNAcentral.
GUAGUCCACGCCCUAAACGAUGGAUACUAGGCGUAAGAGGUAUCGACCCCUCUUGUGCCGCAGCUAACGCAUUAAGUAUCCCGCCUGGGGAGUACGGCCGCAAGGUUGAAACUCAAAUGAAUUGACGGGGACCCGCACAAGCGGUGGAGCAUGUGGAUUAAUUCGAUACUAACCGAAGAACCUUACCCAGGUUUGACAUCGAUUGAAAAGCCCAGAGAUGGGCUCCUCCCCCACAAGGGGACAUGAAGACACUUGUUGCAUGGCUGUCGUCAGCUCGUGCCGUGAGGUGUACGGUUAAGUCCGCCAACGAGCGCAACCCUCGUCCUGUGUUACCAGCGAGUAAAGUCGGGGACUCACAGGAGACCGCCGGUGUAAGCCGGAGGAAGGUGAGGAUGACGUCAAGUCAGCAUGGCAGUUACGCCUGGGGCUUCACACAUGCUACAAUGGGCGAAACAGAGGGCAGCAAAACCGCGAGGUGGAGCCAAUCCCAAAAAUACGCCCCCAGUUCAGAUUGCAGUCUGCAACUCGACUGCAUGAAGGCGGAAUCGCUAGUAAACGCAGGUCAGCUAUACUGCGUUGAAUA